GACGAACGCUGGCGGCGUGCUUAACACAUGCAAGUCGAACGGAAAGGCCCUGCUUUUGUUGGGCGCUCGUGUGGCGAACGGGUGAGUAACACGCGAGUAACCUGCCCUUGACUUUGGGAUAACUCCAGGAAACUGGGGCUAAUACCCGAUAUGAUCUCCUGCUGCACGGUGGGGGUUGGAAAGUUUCGGCGGUUGGGGAUGGACUCGCGGCUUAUCAGCUGGUUGGUGGGGUAGGGGCUUACCAAGGGUACGACGGAUAGCCGGCCUGAGAGGGCUGCCGGCGACCAUGGGACUGCGGUACGGCCCAGAAUCCUACGGGAGGCAGCGGUGGGGAGUAUUGCGCAAUGAGCGGACGCCAGAUACAGCAACGCCGCGUGCGGGAUGACGGCCUUCGGGUUGUGAACCGCUUUCGCCUGUGACGAGGCGUGAGUGACGGUAAUGGGUAAAGAAGCACCGGCUAACUACGUG
This 468-nucleotide ribosomal RNA is filed under the name uncultured bacterium. RNAcentral's name for it is "partial 16S ribosomal RNA". It matches the Rfam family "Bacterial small subunit ribosomal RNA", at positions 28 to 507 of the family's 1533-position model. The record is from RNAcentral.